Molecule: non-coding RNA, 514 nt
Organism: Schizosaccharomyces pombe (fission yeast)
Lineage: Eukaryota; Fungi; Ascomycota; Schizosaccharomycetes; Schizosaccharomycetales; Schizosaccharomycetaceae
Source: the annotation of a GenBank genome assembly
CAAUCUGCAGAGGUAAGAGAUCCAAAGAAGGCUAAUUUAUGUACUUAAGUUUUUUGUUUUAAAGAAAUUGGAAAAGAACAAAGGAGUAAGCCUCUUAUAAGCAACUGUUGAGGGCAUUAUGUAUGCAUAUACAAAUGCCCUUGACGACAAAACAAAUACUAUAGAAUUCGCUCAACAAUACGCAGAAAAAAAAACCGUACAGCUAAACGUCUAGCCACCCCUGGCUUAGCUAUAUUGAUUUUGUAAAAAUAGACUCAGAAGUAAAGAUUACGCUAUCUUUACGACACCAUAACUGACAAUGUUUUGCUAAAAGAAAACUAAUUCUUCGCUCCAAAAACUCUUGGAAUUUGUUUAAUCAAUUGAUCAAUUAACGAAAAAGUUUAUGUAGCGAUUUCGUGCCAUACUCGAGAAAUGGCUUAUUGAAGGUUUGGAAAAGUAAAUAAUAAGAGCGAUUUACCAGCUUACAACUAUUUUCGGACAUUUGAGGGUCUCUAACUUCAAAAGAAAAGGAAUU